RNAcentral lists this ribosomal RNA (513 nucleotides) under uncultured Bacillota bacterium. RNAcentral describes it as "bacterial SSU rRNA". It matches the Rfam family "Bacterial small subunit ribosomal RNA", at positions 10 to 522 of the family's 1533-position model. Lineage: Bacteria; Bacillati; Bacillota. The record is from RNAcentral.
ACUUUGAUUCUGGCUCAGGACGAACGCUGGCGGCGUGCUUCACACAUGCAAGUCGAACGAGAAUCUAAUGACGGAGUUUUCGGACAACUGAUUUAGAGGACAGUGGCGGACUGGUGAGUAACGCGUGAGGAACCUGCCUCUCAGAGGGGGACAACAGUUGGAAACGACUGCUAAUACCGCAUGACGCAUUUUGAUCGCAUGGUCGGAAUGCCAAAGAUUUAUCGCUGAAAGAUGGCCUCGCGUCUGAUUAGAUAGUUGGCGGGGUAACGGCCCACCAAGUCGACGAUCAGUAGCCGGACUGAGAGGUUGACCGGCCACAUUGGGACUGAGAUACGGCCCAGACUCCUACGGGAGGCAGCAGUGGGGAGUAUUGGGCAAUGGGCGCAAGCCUGACCCAGCAACGCCGCGUGAAGGAAGAAGGCUUUCGGGUUGUAAACUUCUUUUAAGUGGGAAGAGCAGAAGACGGUACCACUUGAAUAAGCCACGGCUAACUACGUGCCAGCAGCCGCGGUA